This is a transfer RNA of Psychrobacter arcticus 273-4, 74 nucleotides long. It matches the Rfam family "tRNA". From Rfam's summary of the family: Transfer RNA (tRNA) molecules are approximately 80 nucleotides in length. Their secondary structure includes four short double-helical elements and three loops (D, anti-codon, and T loops). NCBI's taxonomy places the organism in Bacteria, Pseudomonadati, Pseudomonadota, Gammaproteobacteria, Moraxellales, Moraxellaceae. The record is from Rfam.
CGGAGUGUGGCGCAGUUUGGUAGCGCAUCUGGUUUGGGACCAGAGGGUCGUAGGUUCGAAUCCUAUCACUCCGA